UAGCUUGCUAGUAGGCGUCGAGCGGCGGACGGGUGAGUAACACUUAGGAAUCUACCUAGUAGUGGGGGAUAGCAUGGGGAAACCCAUAUUAAUACCGCAUACGACCUACGGGAGAAAGGGGGCAUCUUGAUGCUCUCGCUAUUAGAUGAGCCUAAGUCGGAUUAGCUAGAUGGUGGGGUAAAGGCCUACCAUGGCGACGAUCUGUAGCUGGUCUGAGAGGAUGAUCAGCCACACCGGAACUGAGACACGGUCCGGACUCCUACGGGAGGCAGCAGUGGGGAAUAUUGGACAAUGGGGGCAACCCUGAUCCAGCCAUGCCGCGUGUGUGAAGAAGGCCUUUUGGUUGUAAAGCACUUUAAGCAGUGAAGAAGACUCCGUGGUUAAUACCCACGGACGAUGACAUUAGCUGCAGAAUAAGCACCGGCUAACUCUGUGCCAGCAGCCGCGGUAAUACAGAGGGUGCAAGCGUUAAUCGGAAUUACUGGGCGUAAAGCGAGCGUAGGUGGCUUGAUAAGUCAGAUGUGAAAUCCCCGGGCUUAACCUGGGAACUGCAUCUGAUACUGUUAAGCUAGAGUAGGUGAGAGGAAGGUAGAAUUCCAGGUGUAGCGGUGAAAUGCGUAGAGAUCUGGAGGAAUACCGAUGGCGAAGGCAGCCUUCUGGCAUCAUACUGACACUGAGGUUCGAAAGCGUGGGUAGCAAACAGGAUUAGAUACCCUGGUAGUCCACGCCGUAAACGAUGUCUACUAGUCGUUGGGUCCCUUGAGGACUUAGUGACGCAGCUAACGCAAUAAGUAGACCGCCUGGGGAGUACGGCCGCA
This 818-nucleotide ribosomal RNA is filed under the name Psychrobacter sp. GCDN2_III. RNAcentral describes it as "bacterial SSU rRNA". It matches the Rfam family "Bacterial small subunit ribosomal RNA", at positions 76 to 890 of the family's 1533-position model. The record is from RNAcentral. Lineage: Bacteria; Pseudomonadati; Pseudomonadota; Gammaproteobacteria; Moraxellales; Moraxellaceae.